GUGCCUCUGGAGGGUACAGUAUAGUCUAAUUUUCUUCAUUAUUCAAUUUGGAUCCUGUUAAAUGAGACAGGCAUUCACUGAAAAUUAGGAACACUUAAGUUUUGGCAAAUAAGUUCAUUAGUAUUCGGAAAGCUUUGCACCCCUCAUAUUUAAUAAACCUUUCUAUUACACAGUAAGAAAU
Molecule: long non-coding RNA, 181 nt
Filed under: Neogale vison (American mink)
Lineage: Eukaryota; Metazoa; Chordata; Mammalia; Carnivora; Mustelidae
Description: Neovison vison (American mink) Embryonic ventral forebrain RNA 1 conserved region 1 (ENSNVIG00000019646.1)
Rfam family: Embryonic ventral forebrain RNA 1 conserved region 1
About the family: Evf-1 (Embryonic ventral forebrain-1) is a developmentally-regulated long non-coding RNA. In rats, it is expressed in neurons in the subventricular zone of the developing forebrain. Its expression is linked to that of the Shh (sonic hedgehog) and Dlx families of genes, which are important in ventral forebrain and craniofacial development.
Source: RNAcentral